UACGUAGGGGGCUAGCGUUGUCCGGAAUCAUUGGGCGUAAAGCGCGUGUAGGCGGUUCGGUAAGUCCGCUGUGAAAGUCGGGGGCUCAACCCUCGAAAGCCGGUGGAUACUGUCGAACUAGAGUGCGGAAGAGGCGAGUGGAAUUCCUGGUGUAGCGGUGAGAUGCGCAGAUAUCAGGAGGAACACCGGUGGCGAAGGCGGGUCUCUGGGCCGAUACUGACGCUGAGGAGCGAAAGCGUGGGGAGCGAAUAGG
Molecule: ribosomal RNA, 253 nt
Filed under: uncultured bacterium
Lineage: Bacteria
Description: partial 16S ribosomal RNA
Rfam family: Bacterial small subunit ribosomal RNA
Source: RNAcentral